AGCGGCGACAGAAAGAACGUUCAAUGCACCAGUUCACAAUAGAUCACUCAAAUUAAGCAACACUUCACGUGGUUAGUAUCCGGAUGGGUGACCAUCUUGAAAAUCUUAGCGCCAGUU
RNAcentral lists this ribosomal RNA (117 nucleotides) under Diaphorina citri (Asian citrus psyllid). The record is from RNAcentral. Lineage: Eukaryota; Metazoa; Arthropoda; Insecta; Hemiptera; Psyllidae.